RNAcentral lists this ribosomal RNA (468 nucleotides) under uncultured bacterium. RNAcentral's name for it is "partial 16S ribosomal RNA". It matches the Rfam family "Bacterial small subunit ribosomal RNA", at positions 28 to 507 of the family's 1533-position model. The record is from RNAcentral.
GACGAACGCUGGCGGCGUGCUUAACACAUGCAAGUCGAACGGAAAGGCCCUGCUUUUGUGGGGUGCUCGAGUGGCGAACGGGUGAGUAACACGUGAGUAACCUGCCCUUGACUUUGGGAUAACUUCAGGAAACUGGGGCUAAUACCGGAUAGGAGCUCCUGCUGCAUGGUGGGGGUUGGAAAGUUUCGGCGGUUGGGGAUGGACUCGCGGCUUAUCAGCUUGUUGGUGGGGUAGUGGCUUACCAAGGCUUUGACGGGUAGCCGGCCUGAGAGGGUGACCGGCCACAUUGGGACUGAGAUACGGCCCAGACGCCUACGGGAGGCAGCAGUGGGGAAUAUUGCACAAUGGGCGGAAGCCUGAUGCAGCAACGCCGCGUGCGGGAUGACGGCCUUCGGGUGGUAAACCGCUUUCGCCUGUGACGAAGCGUGAGUGACGGUAAUGGGUAAAGAAGCACCGGCUAACUACGUG